This is a long non-coding RNA of Tympanuchus pallidicinctus (lesser prairie-chicken), 446 nucleotides long. RefSeq lists it as uncharacterized. The transcript is spliced from 3 exons. Lineage: Eukaryota; Metazoa; Chordata; Aves; Galliformes; Phasianidae. The record is from RefSeq and is a predicted model, not a curated record.
UAAUCUACUCCUAACACUAACACUAAACACUAAAAUCAACAACAAAAACAACAACUAAACUAUAACACCUGCAGCAUUUAAAUGGGAAGAGGAGAACUUGGCUCCACAGGAGGCUCGGAGGAGGAGCUGAUGGAAACUAAUGCCACCCAGCUAAUGCUGGGGGCGGGGGCCGCGCAGCGGGUAGGGAGCCGAGCGCCUGGACCAGCGGCGCUGUGACGGCGCCGAUGCGGGGCCUGGCACGGUGGUGUGGUGCCAGGCCAGCUGUGCCGCAGGCGGAUCCACCUCCAUGGGCUCAUCGGGAGGUGGAUCCACCUCCAUGGGCUCAUCCGGAGGUGGAUCCACCUCCAUGGGCUCAUCCGGAGGUGGAUCCACCUCCAUGGGCUCCACGGAGGUGGUCACAGCGCUGGCCCAGGCGCGAUGCAAACGCACUCUCUGCCCCCUCCUCC